ACCAUCUAUGUGUAGGGGGUUAGAAAACUUCAGGUUUGGGUCAUGACUCAUUUAUACCUGACCACAGCAGUUAGAGGCUAUGAAUGCAGGAAGUGCAUGUGGGACUCAGUCGUGCUUUCAAUUAUCCACUGCAGAUGCCCUGAGACACAGGGCAGCUGAGAACCGAAGGCUCUAACCAUGUACAGAGCCCUUCUAUUCCAGAUCGUCCCCGGAGCUGAGAACUCAGCGUCCAGCUGGGCUGGAGCACCAGGCUUUCUUCAGGGUGACUUGGAAACAGAGGGGUAAAUUAGCUGGAAUGUAAGCUUUCACUUACCCUAGUAUACCUUCUUUAAAAAACAAAUAGUCUACAUGGUAUAAUCGAGAUGGAUAUCUGUAUCUUUAAAUUACGUAGGGAAUUUUGUAUGUUUAAAUAAUUGUACUGGGUUCCAUAAUGCUUACCUUAGAAACUGUUUAGUAAAAGAAAAAUAUAUAAACUGUGCAUUUGUGAAUGCCCCCGUUAGAGCAUUCAUGCAAGUUCAAUGUGUAGUGUGAUGGUUAUUAUAGAUAUUUAAAGUAUAGUAAGUGGCUGUGUAACAGGAAAGAUUAUUUUACCUGCGUACUUAAGGUAACUCCUGCCCAUGUAAUUAAAUCAGUAUUGUCCUUUCCUGUCAGUUUGACCAUUUGCAGUACUGGUAGCUUCCUGCUUGUGACUGUUACCUAAUUGUGUCAAUGUACAUCUGUAGUAUGUACAUGUGAAAGUGCCUUUCUAUUUAGAGGAGUCUAGCCUUGCUCUUGUACUGUUACCCCAUUCUAUGCCCACCCUCCUCUUCCUUGGUGCCCACCUGAGUGCUCCGAAAUUUUCUUCACUUUCUCUCUGCAUCUUUUCUAUCCCCACUUUCUGUGCCUCAGUGCUCCAUCCAGUCUGUCUUGCAUCCCUGUCGAUCAUCAGACUCUCGUUGUCCUCGUAGACGUGGUUGUGCCUUUCUCACCCAGCAGUGACUGAGUCCUCCCAUCCCCGCCCCGCUCACAUACUGCACCUGCCAUCAGUUUUACCCACGCUCUGCUCUGCCUCUUCCCAUUACAUCCCCUCCCUUCUGAGGUGAAAAUAACAGGGGCUGCUUUUCCAGUUCUGGAAAAAAAACCAUGUUUUGUUAUUCUGUUGUGACAAUGCACUUUUCUGUAUAGUACUGUACAUUUUGGCAUGUACCGUUACAGGCUUCCGUAUACAGUCGGGUUUGUUCUUCAUGGUGUAUCUUUGUAAUAAAUAAGAUAGUUCUGGCCACCUUUGUCUAC
RNAcentral lists this long non-coding RNA (1272 nucleotides) under Heterocephalus glaber (naked mole-rat). RNAcentral's name for it is "lncRNA (ENSHGLG00000047415.1)". The record is from RNAcentral. Lineage: Eukaryota; Metazoa; Chordata; Mammalia; Rodentia; Bathyergidae.